AUGUCACUGGUUCUCAUCCACAAUUUGAGUAGCAAGAGCCCUGGACAACUUUCAGGAAGACAGUUCUGAUCUGUAGCAAUUAACACGUGGUCAUCCUCAGAAAAAGGGUAACGCAGGUGCCACUUGACCUAACAGAAUCUUAUACAUGCCAAUAAUGUGAAGGCUUGAUGGGUGUUUGUACUUAGUCCUCUCAAUUAUUUCCCAGAGAUACCCAUAACUUAAAAUGCAGGAACCAAGAGAUUUGAGCCUAGACAUUUGGAUGAAAAGUGAUUUCCACCUGGAGAAAGUCACUGCCCUUCUGUGCAGAGUACCAUUGUGUCUUGACUCCAGCUUGGCCACAAGGAAAUGGGGUGAGACUUUGUCAUGUGUGUCGCUGAAGUUCAGCUAUGCAAAAAUGUUCACCUAUCCUUGAUCAACCAGUCCAGGAACCAUCAAAGAAGAAAAUGAGAUUCGACUUAGAAGACCUGUUCUUUAUAAACCCCUGCACAGCCCUAAUGAUCAAUACCACUUCCGGUGCUCAUAAAUUACUGCUUCAGUAAUUGUUCUGC
This 548-nucleotide long non-coding RNA is filed under the name Pongo abelii (Sumatran orangutan). Its description in RNAcentral is "lincRNA". The record is from RNAcentral. Lineage: Eukaryota; Metazoa; Chordata; Mammalia; Primates; Hominidae.